AUUGAACGCUGGCGGCAUGCCUUACACAUGCAAGUCGAACGGCAGCACGGGAGCAAUCCUGGUGGCGAGUGGCGAACGGGUGAGUAAUAUAUCGGAACGUGCCCAGUCGUGGGGAUAACGUAGCGAAAGCUACGCUAAUACCGCAUACGAUCUAUGGAUGAAAGCGGGGGAUCGCAAGACCUCGCGCGAUUGGAGCGGCCGAUAUCAGAUUAGGUAGUUGGUGAGGUAAAGGCUCACCAAGCCGACGAUCUGUAGCUGGUCUGAGAGGACGACCAGCCACACUGGGACUGAGACACGGUCCAGACUCCUACGGGAGGCAGCAGUGGGGAAUUUUGGACAAUGGACGCAAGUCUGAUCCAGCCAUUCCGCGUGCAGGAUGAAGGCCCUCGGGUUGUAAACUGGCUUUUGUACGGAACGAAAAGGUUUCUCUUAAUACGAGGAGCUCAUGACGGUACCGUAAGAAUAAGCACCGGCUAACUACGUGCCAG
RNAcentral lists this ribosomal RNA (488 nucleotides) under uncultured bacterium. RNAcentral's name for it is "bacterial SSU rRNA". It matches the Rfam family "Bacterial small subunit ribosomal RNA", at positions 30 to 511 of the family's 1533-position model. The record is from RNAcentral.